UACGGAGGGUGCUAGCGUUGUUCGGAAUUAUUGGGCGUAAAGGGAGCGCAGGUGGGUCGGAAAGUCGGAUGUGAAAGCCCUCGGCUUACCCGAGGAAGUGCAUUCGAAACUCUCGACCUUGAGUACUGGAGAGGGUAGCGGAAUUCCCGGUGUAGAGGUGAAAUUCGUAGAUAUCGGGAGGAACACCAGUGGCGAAGGCGGCUACCUGGACAGAUACUGACACUGAGGCUCGAAAGCGUGGGUAGCAAACAGG
RNAcentral lists this ribosomal RNA (253 nucleotides) under uncultured bacterium. Its description in RNAcentral is "partial 16S ribosomal RNA". It matches the Rfam family "Bacterial small subunit ribosomal RNA", at positions 524 to 776 of the family's 1533-position model. The record is from RNAcentral.